RNAcentral lists this long non-coding RNA (18332 nucleotides) under Daucus carota (carrot). Its description in RNAcentral is "long non-coding RNA (DCAR_LNC000821)". Lineage: Eukaryota; Viridiplantae; Streptophyta; Magnoliopsida; Apiales; Apiaceae. The record is from RNAcentral.
AAUUUGGCAAUUUUCAAAUUAUUCGGCCUACGCAUCAAAAAUUUAUCAACAAAGUCGAUGAAAUGUAUGCCUGGAUUCCUACCAUCAGUAAAAUCAAGAUUCGGGAGUGACUCGCAGAGAGGUCUCCAUCUUUUGGACAAGAUACAAGUGCGCACGGCAGGUUUAAUUGGAAGCAAUGCAAGUAUAGCGAUGAGUAGUGAGUCAGGUAAAUCACUGAUUCUAUCUACCUCACAAAUAUUCGCUAAUUUUUUUGAAGUCGAAUUCAUGAUAUGAUACCAAUGAAUUACACUGGAAGCUGAUAAUUAGAGAUUAAAAGCUUAUGGGAAGGAAGAGAGAUUAGUUACCAAAUUCGAUGUGCGAGAAACGUUUCGGCUUACUCCAAUAGAUUGUACAGCGAUGAAACACCGAAAAAAUCAAUACUAACGAAUUCAAACUCUAUCUCUAAUGAGCAGAACCUUCACGAAUAUCUUAUGCUCGGAAUGGCUCCAAAAUCCCCAUUUUCUAGAGAGAGAGAGUAAGAGAGAGGCAUAGGGGUUGGAGAGAGAGAGGGGAGACGAGGGUUGACGGUUUUGUUUCAUUAUUUGUUUUGUUUGUUUUCUUCACUUUCUACUCCCUCUGUACCAGUCAAUUGUAUACGUUUUUUUUCGUUUUUUUUCAUUGCUCGACACGCUUUUAAGGCUCUUAUAAAACAUAGUUCUACAACUUAUUUUUAAGAUUUUCCUUUUUUUGUACAAAAAUAUAAAUGUUAUACUUUUAUAAAAAAAAAAAAUCUUAAAAAUAAUUUACUGAACUAUAAUAUAUUGAAGCAUUAAAGUCCGUGACGCGUCCCCGUCCCCCAAUGUAUACUAUUGACCGGGACGGAGGGAGUAGUAAUUUAAGAAAAAGAAAUUGUAAUAUAAUUGCUUUAAGGUUUGGGUAACAUGUGAUUUAUAUUUUAAAUUUUAAUAAUUAUGAUAUUUUUAUUAAUAAAUAAUUAUGAGAUUUUAGCAGGUACGACUAAAAUCAUUUGGCUAUCCAACUUUAAAUCAAUUUUCCAACCCAUCCGUAUCCUCAAUCUGGAAUUUUAUUUCCGAUCAUCAUUUUCAAUGGAAAAUAGUUAUAAUCGUAGGUAUUCGAAAAUUUUUAAAAUUUUUAAAUAAUAUUAUAAUAUAUUUAAUAUUAUAAAUUUUAGUUUAAAUUAUAUUAAUAAGUCACGUAAUAUUUUCUAUAUUUUUAUAUAACAUUUUAAAUAUUUAAUUCAAAUUAAUAUUUAUUUAUAAUAAAUUUUAUUUUAAUUAAUUUGUAUUAGAAAAAAACAUUUAAAUAAUAAAUGAGAUUUUUAAUUAAAUAUCAAAAUAUAAUAUGGUUAUAGUUAAUAUUUAUAAAAUAUUAAUAUAUAAAUAUAAUAUUUAUAUUAAAUAUGAAAACCGGGGAGUUUCGGUACUGACGGGGAGACUCUAAUCUUCGAACCCGUCCCGUCCCGAUCCACGAAUUUUUUAUAAAACAUUUUCCGUCUCAUCACGUAUCAAAAAAAUCCCAGAUUCUCCUACUCAAAAUGGGGCAGCGGAUCAGGGUCAUGCCCAUCCCUAAAUUUUAGCGAAUUAUGUACAUUUUAUGUUAAGAAUUCAUGGAUUAUGAUAAGAUCCAAAAAGAAAAAUAUAUAUCAAACAAUUCCAUGGAAGUUAUCAUUUUAUAAAAUUCAUAAAAAUCAUCAAUAUUCUCUUUCAAAAAAAAAAAAAAAAAAAAAAUCAAUAUUCGAUAUCAUCAUAUUUUAAUAAUUUUUAAACUUCGAGGCGAUGUUAAUAUAGUUAUUACUCCUGUAAUGUAGCAUCAAUUAUGGACUAAUAUAAUAUUAAAGAAUGUGUUAAAAUUGAAAUUUUAUAAACUUCAUUUUAUAUUCAAAAUCACUUAUAAGUUUAAUUAUAAUUGUCACUUAGGGAUUUAAGACGACAAUUGGAGAGUAAUGAAUAUAAAAAUAAAUUUGAUUUAGAUUUUUAUAGUUAUAUAAUAUCUAUUAUGAGUUUAAUUAGUUUUGUAUUUAUUUGAUAUUAUUUUAAAAUCAUAUACUGAAACACAAAAUCUACUUAAGUAACAAAAUAUAUUUUUAAAAUAUCAUAUUAUUAACGAUAGUUAUAUCUAAUCUAACAUAGCAAUGGCUUAUUAAACUGCUAAAUUCUGAGUUUCUAGUGGGUGUGGCAGGAAAACUGCCACCCAAUAUUGCAUUCAUAUCUACAUUCAAGCAUGAUCGAGUCAAGAUUAGCUAAAGAGAAAACUCUAACAUUUAUCAUCUGUAGUUGUUUCUAUUUCGUCAUUCAACAGGAUUUCAUCAUUCAACGUCGACCAAAAAAUACAAGUUCUUUUUAAAUCAUAGUGUAAUUGAAUUAAAUCGCCACUCUUCAUAGUGUUUCUGAAGAUACACCCCCAUUCUCAAAGCAUUAAAUAAUAAAUAAUGCAUCGAAGAUCAAAAUAAUACAGUAUUAAAUUACAUUUAAUAAUAAACUAAUACUCCAAUAUUUCUUGUUGGUUCCAUCCCAACUUUUCUGAUGGAAUAAAUGUUGUGGCCAAUAAAUAGUGCUUGAUCAAACUCCAUAGGGGAAUCCAAGCUUUGAUAUGCUGAUCAAACUUGUUUAUACAAGGUAUGUAUGGAUAGGUGUUAUGGUCCCUCUUACAUGGUCGUGCCAAGCCAAUAUACAGGAUGAAAGCAAGGUCUCCGUUUAACUUGAAAACUAUGAUAUCAACUUGCGAAACAGACAGUUAACAAACCAUCUGUGUUCAGCUACAAAUAAACCAGGGACAAAAUUAAUAAAUUUUCGAAUCAUACAUUCUGUAUCACCUUGGCGAAAAGUCUGGUCUGAGUGUCUGACAAAUUCAGGUUCAUCACAAGUGUUUGAAUUUACAACCUAAACUGACAGAGGCGGAUCUUAGAAGGGGCAAGAGGGGGCAACUGACCCCCCUUAAUUUUUUUGUUUGUUAAUAUUAUACAUAUUUUUAGGUUGUAAAAUUGAAAUUGACUCCCCUUAAUUUUUUUGUGACCCCUUUUAAAUUUUUUUACAAAAAAAUUGACCCUCCUUAACUUUAUAGUCAGAUCCGCCACUGGCACCAGACCACUUGCUUUGAUUCACGGAGAUAAAUAACCAAUUAGAAUCAUAACUAUCUAUAUAUCCAUUUAUCUAUAUUAUACUAUUAUAACCAGAAUUACACAUCUGUGAAGUGGGAGGGCAGAUUUGUAAUAUUGCUUUUAAGGAAGAAGGAAAACCUGAUAUCUUUCUUUGGGGUUGUUUGGUUGAACUUAAAAAAAGUGACUUAUUGCUUAAAGUAAAGAAGUGGAUUAUAAGUGAAAAGUUGGUCUGAACUUAUAAGUUAUUAAAAGUGUUUGGAUACUCAUGACUUAUUUUGUUAUAAUAAGCUCCAAACCUAAAAAAAAGCUAGAUUUUCUAGCUUUUUUUCCGAGCUUUUAAGCCUCAUUUUAAGUACUUCUCUUAAGUUUCCAAACACUACAUAAAUAAGUUGAAGCAACUUCUCUUCCAAAUAAACAACUAGCAUAAAAACCCGUGCGAGGCACGGGACUCUAGAUUUUGUUGUAUUUUAAAUAAUAUUCGUGUGUUAUCAUAUUAUUUCGAGCAUAACUAUUACGUCAUAUUUUUUAACAGAAUAUGUAAAUAUGAAAUGUAACAUUUGCAAUCUAAUAGUAUUGAUAGUAAAAAAUUAUGGAUCAAAAACAACAUUUGAACUGAUUUUUCUAUAUUCAAUUUUGUUAAGAUAUAGAGGCCACUACCAUAUUAUCAACAUGUUCAAAAUUAUACUCGAAACUAAUACUGAAACUUUUAGAAUCUAAAUAUAUUAUACCUCAUUAAAAAGAUCUGUAAUUUAUUGUUGAAAAUUAUCAAAUUAUUUCAUCCAAUAUGAAAACUUGUUCUUGAUAUGUGAAUUACGAUAUCCUAAAUCAUGAUUAGAUGAAGAUGUAUGGUCCGCGUUGUUUUAUAUUUAUUUCUCUUUUUUUGAGCGUACGUUUGUGUAAUAGUUAAGUGAUAUAUGAUGGACAUACCAUCAACACAUUCUUUUUUAUCAUAUGUUGCACACACCUUGUAUAAAUAAUAAUUGAAACAUAUAUUAUAUGUAAAAGACCCUACCUUACUUUAUUAUAAAAGCAUCCAUUGAACUACUAACCUUAUAAUUGUACCCGAAAAAUUUCGACACGUUUGAUUUGACUUACCCUUUUAAUUUUCAUAUCAAUUAUAUAGUAUUUCAAUGUCUUAUAUUUUUUUGUUAAUUUAAAAUAUUAGAUGAUUAUUACUUUAAUACCGCGUGUUAUAAUAUUGUCUUGCUAUAAAAUUUUGUUUUUUAUCAUUAGUUUUCUGAGCUUGUUGAUUUAGGCUUUUAAUGAUUUUUCAUGUAAUUGUUAUAAACCAGAUCUCAAAUAGCAAAAAUAGAGUAGAUGUCAGUUAGGCACCAUGAAGUUCAUAAAAAUAAGAAAUAUUUAGUUUAAUUAGCCGUAUAGUUACUUUUUUAGCUUUGUGCAAACUCACAUUUUUAAAUAUUUUGAUACUCUUAUUUCUUAGGGGUGAGCAAUGUAGCAUAUCAUGUUCAAUUGUUAAAGAUCAAAUCAGGUGUUCGAUAUUCUGGAUUAUGGAAAACUAUUCUUGUUCUAUUCCCGUUUAAUCAGAUAUUAGUUUUCACCUUAUCGCGUCGGAUUAUCCAUUUCAGAAUUAAUUAUAUUUUAUUAGUUUAAUUUGUAAAUGAUUAAUUAAUUUAAUUAUAGUUUGAAUCAUUUUAUUUAACUCGUAUGUUAUACAUUGAUGGAUGGCAUAUUAAAAUUAUAGUUUUAAGACUUUAAUAUAUAUAUAUAACUUAUUUCUCUGUGUUAUUUUAUUUUAAGCAAGUAAAAUUUAUAACUCAAUUCUUUUUAGUAGGUCUCGUAAACGCGUUUUAUUAUUAUUUGGUUGACUUUUGAUUAACAAUAUAGAAAUUCCCUAAAUUCACCUUUGUAUCACAAGUUAUAAUAUUUCAAAUUCAUAUAUCACCAAAAUCACAUCAUUUAGACGUAUUUUCUAACACCAAAUUUGAUGUAUUUGUCACUAUUCUUAUAUCUAUAAAAAAAAAAUUUGAAAAGAUUUGGUUACACGUCGAAUUCUGGAUUCAUCAUAAGUUUAAAAUAAAAAAGUAAUCCAAAUAAAAAUAUUCUCUCAGUUAUCUUAUUUUAUGUUCUUCAAAAUAUUGUAAUUUUUUUAUAAGUCACUUUUUAUAAUUAAAAGAAAAAUAUGACAUAAUCCAUGUUGAAAGUCCAUCAAUUUUUCCUUUCAAAGAUGCUCACCGAAAUCUUAGUUUUUGUGCUUAUUUCUCACAUUCAUGGCUUAAAAUUUUCUAAUAUUGUAUCAGUACUCGUUUAAAGUAUUAAGUUAGAUUUGAAUUCGUCCAAUUUUAUUCAAAUAUGAAUUAUAUCCAUUAUUUGAAGUCUGAAACAUGGCUCGAGCCCAAUUGUUCAAAAUUUUUUCAAAUUUAAAUUCAUUACGUAAGUAAUUAAUUUAUGGAUAUUAAUCUAUCAUGUAAAAAACAUAUGAGACUUACCUGAAAUAAUAACUUAUUUCAAAUAAAUAAGAUAUUGAAAAAAAUAUAAAUACAACAGUUUUAAUGUAUGAGUUUAAUGCUUUUGAACAAAAAAAAUUAAUUGUCUGUGUAGCUCAAGUGGUUUGAGAGGUGUACUUGUAAUGAAGAGGUCUUGGGUUCAAGUCCCAUUAAUAACAUUUUUUUUGUAUGUAUGAGAAAGAGUUAGGUUCGGAGUUAGGCUCGGGUUCGGAGUUAGGUAAUUUAUUUGCUCAGGAGGGAGGCUUGACACGAACCUGUUGGACUACUAUAUAUCUAUACUAUACUAUAAUAAGCCAACAUGGGUAUAAUUUGUAGUCCUAGAUUUUAGUUAUAUUUUUUGGUUUGGUACUCUCCUUUUGGUACUACAACUCUAGAAAUGUGGAGUCUAUUAGUCUUACAUUGUUAAACAGUUUCAAAUACUAAAAACACUCCUAACAAUACCUUAUCAUAUAAUAUUUCAUUAAAAAAUUAUAAUGAUGUUAUAAAUAAAAUUAUAAAUAAUAAUUUUGAAUAUCUUUUUUUAACAAAAAGCUUUAUAUAACUCUUUUUAACUUUAAUGUGUUCUAUUUCAAUAUAAACACCAAACAUUACAUAACCCUUUCUAACUCAAAUCUUAAAAGUUUCUGUUGUCAAACAAAUCAAGAUUACAGAAUUAUGUUGAAAUUUGAUUGAUUAGAUUACUGAAUUUUUCAAAUGUAUUACAAGAUCGUCUAUGUUUGGAAAAGAUUUGAAUUUUCUGAUUUUUUUAAUUUUUAGAUCUACAUGUACUAAAUUCGGAUUAAAUCUCUCUCUCUCUCUCUCUCUCUCUCUCUCUCUCUAUAUAUAUAUAUAUAUAUAUAUAUAUAUAUAUAUAUAUAUUUGUUAGGAUUUGUCCAUUUUCAGGUAAUCAUGAGAAAAUAUAGUCAGUCGAAUAAUAUAAUUUAAUUAAAUUCAAUCUAUUAAUAUUAAAAUACCAAUAAAAUGAUGUUAAAAUUUAAAUUAUAAAAAUUAAAUUACGAACUAUAUAUCCGCCCGUGCUUCGCACGGGUUAAAGGCUAGUAUAAGUAGAUAGAUAAGUUGAGUUUGCCAAACACCCACUUUAUAUCUGAUGAAAACUUAAAGUUGGGUCCUUUCAACUUUCUGAACAUGUUAAACCGGUCUCUUAAAUUUUCAAAAGCAUAAACAACACCUGAAGUUUCCAUAAAUUACGAACUAGUCUGUCUACUUGCAGAAAAGUAGUCCCUCACAGUUUCAAAAAAUUACUGGCCCAUCCAAUGCUUCCAGUUCAGAAUUUGACAUUUUGAUCCUUUUAGAAGAAUAUAAUUUAGAAGUUACACUGUUUUUUAAAGAUUAAAAUGUUCCUUUUAAGUUGAGGAAAAAUUCUUGGUAAAUACAUGAACUUCAGUUUAAGUUAUAUACACAAAAUUAAAAUAAAAAAUUACUAAUGUGGCACUUCUGCAAGUCGUGUAAACAUGACCACUGGUUACUAUCCACAUAGCCGUCAAGGUAUAUUAUUUUUUCGCCAUUCACUCUUUUUUAUCAGUGUAUAUAAAUGGCUUUGUAUUUUACAGAUAUAAAUCAUGUUGUCUAUGUUAUAUGUCAUGUUUCCAGGUCUUGCAGACACCAAUUCUAGCAUGUUUGUGUCUAAUAUAACUAAUGCUGGAUCAUCUUCAAGAAGUCAUAAGUAUAUAGCUAAGAGGAAAUCUAGAUUAUGUGGAACUGAAACAACCAAGAACUUAUUUGAAGAGGACUUCACAGUCACACAAGAAAACAGCCCCAACACACGAGGUUAGACAACCUUUUCUCCAAUUACCAUAUUAUGAUUGGAACUUUAUUCAUAUAUUGCAAAGGACCAACAGAAGUCUGAUGUUUUAUGUAGAGAAUUCAGCUUCACCUGAUGAUAUGUUCACGUAUGAAGAUGAUUUCUCGGACGACUCAGAUUGUAUGUUAUGAACCUAUGCUUCCACAUUGAUGUUAUAUACAUAGAUUAUUUGUUGAUUUUAUUAACAUCUGCAUUCAAAACAGAUAACUCCAGUGAAGAAUUUAUACAGGAGAUAUAGAAAUUGUUCUCGGUGAUCGGCAGAUUCGUACUAUAAUUGGAAAAAGAGCAUAUAAUGAAUAAUUUCUUUUUCAAUAUUAGGAUGGUAAUGAAGAAGCUUUCCCACAAGAGCUGAGAACUAUAAUCAAUAAAGACUAUAGUGUGAUUCUAAGGAUUACUUAAAUUAACAAUGCAAAUAAAAUCAACAUCUACUCAGCAACUAACAUAUGCAAAGGCUUCCAAAAACCUGAAACAGAAGUGUAGGAAAUCAUGGAAACCAGUGAACAAAUUGAAACUGAGGUAAGAAGAAGAUGUUUACACUUAUUGUUCUGUUGCAAAUGAUAAAUAAUGAUUUUUUUUUUCCCGUAUUUCUUACAGGCAACAACUUCAACAUACCACCUUGAUGGAAUGUCAACACAAACAGCAAGGACUUAAAGCUAUGGUGGAUCACACAGCAGUCAUGAUUUUUUAUCAUAUGUCUUUAAUCUGUCUUCAAAAAAUAUUUGUGCUCAAGAAUGUAAUAUUGUAAACUUUGAACUUAUCAAGAUCACGGUCAAAAUGGUUUUUUAUUGUUGAUAUCAGCUCUUCUUAGUGCUUUUUAUGUUAUAUAUGUUUUCACAUUUUGAUUUAAUAUGUCAUUAAAAUAUCAACGCAAGUAUAUAUAAUGUAAAGGCCCUGCACCGCGGGUACAAAUACUAGUUAUACUAUUAUAACCAGAAUUACACAUCUGUGGGCAGUGGGCAGAUUUUGUAUUUUGCUUUUAAGGAAGAAGGAAAACCGAAAACCUAAUAUCUUUCUUUAUAUCUGAUGAAAACUAAAGUUGGGUCCUUUCAACUUUCUGAACAUGUUAAACCGGUCUCUUAAAUUUUCAAAAACAUAAACACCACCUGAAGUUUCCAUAAAUUCCGAACUAGUCUAUGUACUUGCAGAAAACUAGUCCCUCGCAGUUCCAGAAAAUUACUGGCCCAUCCAAUACUUCCAGUUCAGAAUUUGACAUUUUGAUCCUUUUAGAAGAAUAUAAUUUAGAAGUUACACUGUUUUUUAAAGAUUAAAAUGUUCCUUUUAAGUUAAUGAAAAAUUCUUGGUAAAUACAUGAACUUCAGUUUAAGUUAUAUACACAAUAUUAAAAUCAAAAAUUACUUAAAGCAGAUAUGAAAAGUAAAAAUAUAACAACUAGGUUAGAUUGUAAAUAUCAGUAGCAUCAAGCAGAGUAAUCUAACUUACAAAGUUAACGAGAAAGAAACCCAAAAAGCAUAACAAUGCAAAAUAAUUACCCCCACCGGCAGACAAGUUCCUGGUAACACCAUGUUUGCACAAACGAGUCUGGCAAACCGUAUAAAAGGGAAAGGACAGGGAUUUCGCGGCCUGGUAAGAGCAUGCAUUGUCCGGACAUAGUUUAAGGUUAUCUCUAACUUUGAGGUCUAGAAUUAAAGUUGUUAAUUGCCAGAAUUAAGGAAAUGAGUUUUAAAACUAAGAUUCGGAGAUUGCAGCUUAUCAAUAUUCUGCAGACCUCGGCUUAGCAAACAAUAGUGUUUAGUGGACAAGGUAAAGAGGUUCGAUGGUGGAAGAAUGUAGAUGUUAAAAGAAAAAUAUCGUACAAUCAUGGAAAGGCGCGAUAAUGCAACAAUUAUACCCUACUGAUCCACCAAAAUAUAUGACAAGACAACAACCUGGUGGUAUCUAACCAUAAUAUAGUGAAAAAUUAGGUAGUAGCAUAAACGGACUUCCUUCAAAAAUAGAUAUUGAUUCCCUACUUGUAAAAAAAAAAAAAAAAGAUACCGAUUACUGAGGAAACCUAAUACCAAGAUAAAUAAACACAAACCUAAGAGAGGAUGGACCAAAAUUAACGAUAGAAUGAGUCAUUAAGGUCAGCAAGUAAGACAAGCAAUCCAGACACAACUUCAUCUACUUAUCACUCAUUUUCGCCCGUAACCUAGAAAAGAUCGGUACUUAACUUGUGGCUCUAUGAAGCACCUCUAUGCAGCUAGGACAAGGUGUGACAUUCCUUAGCAUCUUAGCUAUCUUCCACUUUUUAGAUAUUGGAAUUUAUGUGUAUUCAUACUAUUUAAACUUAAAAGCAGAUUCCUUAUCUAACAAUAAAGCAAAAGAAUUACACAACCAAUAAACUAUCAUUCUUAAACAAUGCAUCUUGUUAAUAUUUCAUGCCACAGUGAAACGCAAAAAUAACAAUGCUGGGGAAAAAAACAUUGUAGCAAAAACUAAUAAAAACUAGAAGAAAAACAGAGCUUAUUACAGAAAAUGUACCUCAUACAUUUUGUGAUUACAAAUAGCAUGUCUCAUUUUCAUCCUAUAAUAUUAAGCUUGCAACUUGUUGAUUCACUCUGUAAGUUUAACAGUUCGUGCCGGGCGUUUGCAUCUUUUGACAAAUUUGAAAUUUCAACUGAUACAUUUCGCAAAGCACUCCCAUAAGCUAGCAGGCAUUUAACAAAUGCCAAUACCUCAUCUACUUCGCCGAAUGUUCUAAUAUAUACUGUUUUAAGAUGUGUGGAUAAGCAUUCUGGAACACGUGCUUGUGACCAGGCCCAUGAGCCGCGAAAAGAUUCAUGAAGGGAACUACAACCAAGACCCUGCUAACAAGAGAGAGCAAAGUGUUAAAUUCUAAGUUCAGUGUCCUUGACAAAUACGUCAAAUCUCAGUUUUUAACUCACCUGCGGAAAUUGAAGACUUUCAAGGUUCGGUGAGCUUUGAAGGAAGUCAUCCAGUAAAGUUUUGUGAAAAAAAUCGUCAACAUCAAUUACCAACUCAGUCAAGUUAUGAAAUGGAGGAAACUCAUAAUGACCUGAUCUUAACUCAUUAUCAUAUGCCAGGCUGAGGAUCUUCAAAAUAAGAAGGCAAGCCGUGACAGUCACAUAAAUUUGCAGCAAAGAUAAAAAUUAGUUCAUUUACAUUAAGAUUUAGGCAUGACACUAACCUCCACAGUGUUAUCUGACAAAGUCAAAAAUUUGACAUGAUUAAUCUUUUUAAGCACCCCUAACACGUAAUAAACUCCUUGUGGCAUCUCAUCAUCAAAGAUGUCGAUUACAGCUAUCUUGAGGAAUGGCAAGUUCUCCUUGAACAAAAUAUCAUUAUCACCGCCUGCGUAAGAACAAAUUUGGAGAUUCUCUAAUCUCGGUGUAUCAAUCAUAGUCCGAAUCACAAAUUCUGCAUCAUCUGAACCAAGAUAAUAUGACAACCUCUUCAAUACAGAUCCACAAAUAUUGAAAGAGUUGCCCGUAAGCCAUUCACAGUGGACAAUUUCCAAAUCUUCAAGCACAGGACAGUUUAACAAAAGCUUCCCAACUGACUCACAGCUCGAAAUCAUAACUCUGUCGAAUCUAAGCAGCCGAAGCCUCGGAAGCGUAACAUUCUCCGGAAUCUCAACUGAUAUUUUCCCACUGAGUCGAACAACUUCAACACUAGCAGACAUGUAAAAAAAAUCUUGGACCAAAUUAUACAAGUCUCGAAACGAAAGACAAAGGUUUAUCUCUUUCAAAUCACGUCCAAGCGCAUUUAUAAUCCACUCAUUAACGCGGUCCCGGUAGUAGUCUCCACGAUAACAAUUUAACCGGAAUUUAGCGAUUUUCAAGUUAUUCGGCCUACGCAUCAAAAACCUAUCAACAAAGUUGGUGAAAUUUAUGCCUGAAUUGCUAACAUCAACAAAAUCAAGAUUCGGGAGUGACUCGCAGAGAGGCCUCCAUUUUUUCGACAAGAUACAAGUGCGUACAGCAGGUUUAAUUGGAAGCAAUGCAAGUAUAGCGAUGAGGAGUGAGUCAGGUAAAUCACUGAUUCUAUCUACCGCACAAAUAUUCGCUAAUUUUUUUGAAGUCGAAUCCAUAAAAUUUACCAAUGAAUUACAUAAAAACUUGAUCAAAAGCUGGAUGAGGAUGGGAAGGAAGAGCGAUUGAUUACCAAAUACGAUGCACGAAAGACGUUUCAGCUUACUCCAGUGAGGCAGUGACCGGGGUUUUUAGGUUUGCUGGAGAUUUUGACCCGGUAAUAUAGAUUCAUAGGAUCCGAACUCGAUCCAUUAAUAUGCUUGUUUACUCGUGUCUGUUAUGAGUUUAGAAGUUUAUUUAGAGAAUUAUUGGGAUUCCCUCUAAAUAAUUAUAUUUUGUUUUGAAUUUAUUGAAAAUGAUAUUAUUGAAUCGAAGUAGGAUGUGUGAGGCAGAUUUUUUAAGAUUGAUGUUAAAAUAGUUACUAUCCUUAAUAUAAGUUCAGUCAUUUAAAAGGGUCCAAUGCUAGCACAAAUUUAAAAUAUAUUGAUAUUGAUAACAUCAAUUAUAACCAUAGAACAUGAGAAUGAAAUAAUAUAAAAAAAUGUUAUAACUAAAAAUUGUUAACUUUCAUUCUAUAAAAUCAAUUAUAAAUGUAAUUAUGAUUGUGACAUGGGUAUUUAAGUUGAAAGGUAGAGAGGUGGAAAAUGGUAGUGAUUUGAAAAAAAAUAUAAAUUUUUUCCCUAAUCUAGUUGGCGAGGUAUUAUUAGUUGGAAAAUGUUAGUAUUCAGAAAGUAUUCUCAAAUUUUUUUCCAAAUUCAAACAACACUCUAUGAUUGGUUCAAAUUACACUAAUAAUAAUAGGAUCAUUUAUGCACAUCAACUGCCCAAUUAAAAUUAGUCAUAUGUCUAUCACGUCAAAGUAGAAUUUAGCAUUACCCUUAUUAGUUUCACACAUAUUAAUAAUAAUGCCUUUGAAUACACAAAUCACCCAAUUAAAAUUAAUCAUCUAUUUGCCACCUCAUUUGAAAGAAGAAUUGAAACAGAAUUUGAGAUAUAUAACACUACUCUAAAAGAGAAAUGAAUAUGAAAAUUAAUCUGGUUUAAGUUUUUGUAGUUAGGUUGAUAUCAAUUAUAAACUUAAUUGGUUUUGCUUUGUUUGAUUCCAUUUAAAAUUUAACUAUAAAAUUUGUUGUAAUAAUAAAAUGUAUUUUUUAAUUUUAUACUAAUAACAAUAACUAGUUCUGAGACUUGUUUAGCUUAAUUUAAAAAAAGUAACUCAUCGCAUAACAGGAAAAAAUAAAUUAUAAAUAAUAUAAUUUUAAACAUAUAAAUUACCCAAGUGUUUGUACAAUUGUGUGAUAAAAAGUUGCGGAAAAUAGAUGUUAAGAGCAUCUCCAACGGCGUUGGCUAUAAUCGUUGGCUAAAUUGGACCUGUAAGGCUUUAUGUAAAAUUUGCUGAACCUGUAACACAUUUUGCUUCAAUGGUAUUGGCUAUAAUUUAAAAAUAGUAUGUUAUUAAUAUUUUAAAUUGUUAAAAUAGAAUAUAUCAGUUCAAUAUGGUAAUAAAUGAUGUGCAAUCUUCCUACAGAUUUUCUUACAGACCUGUAGAGGUUCGACAAAUUUAGCCAUCCAUAGGAGGUUGGCUAAAAUUAUAGACAACAGGUGGGCGUGGUUGGAGUGUACUUUUUUGACGAUGUUGGCUAUAAUUUUUAAUUAUGGUAUGCCAACUCACAUUUUAGCUAAGGGUACUCUAUGGUUGGAGAUGCUCUUAGAGCAUCUCCAACCAUCUAAAACCCUUGGCUAAAAAGUGAGUUGCUUACCUAAAAUAAAAAAAUUUAGCCAAGAGCUCCAAAAACUCAACUCCAACCAUGCUCACCUGUUGUCUAUAAAUUUAGCCAACCUCCUAUGGAUGACUAAAUUUGUCGAACCUCUACAGGUCUGUAAGAAAAUCUGUAGGAAGAUUGUACAUCAUUUAUUACCAUAUUGAACUGAUAUAUUCUAUUUUAACAAUUUGAAAUAUUAAUAACAUACUAUGUGGGCGUGGUUGGAGUGUACUUUUUUGACGAUGUUGACUAUAAUUUUUAAUUAUGGUAUGCCAACUCACAUUUUAGCUAAGAGUACUUUAUGGUUGGAGAUGCUCUAAGUGAUUGAUUGGUUGGGCUACUAAGCCCAGCUUUUGGGCGUAUAAACCUGAUAUAGUUUAGCCCAACUUUUCGAUUUAUAAAUCCGAUUAGUUUAUUCAAAUUGUUUGUUUAACAAACUUAUAAAUUGAUUCCCGCUAUAUAAGUUGAUUACGUCAGAAUAUAAAAAGUUGAGCAUGCUAGUUUUUUAGUUUCUUAUUAUUAUUUUUUUGAAACUUGAUUUUACAAAUAUGCAGAGAAUGACUUUAAAAGAUAAUCUAUAUAAUUUAUUAUUAUAUUAAAAAUUCUUAUACUUUUUGAAAAUUCUUAUACUUAAUAAAUUGCAAGCACAAAAAAAUUAUUCAGAAUAAAACUUAUCUUUCAUUUAUAAUUAACUUUCUCAUUUAUCAUGACAAAAAAAAAAUUUAACUUCUCAUUUAUAAAUAUUAAGCCCUUCUUUUAUGUUCCGCUUAACGGAUCCUACAUUUGCAGUAGCUUUCAACUUCUGCUCUUAAAAUUUAAAAUAAGUACAUGCCUGUUAUUUUACCAAACAAACCACAACAGCAAAUAUCAUCUCAGGAAAAAAGCCAAAAAGCAGAGUCCGCCAAACACCCAUCUAAUCCAACAAUAGCAAUGGACUUGCAGGCUCAUUAAAUUCCUACUAUCUGGUGGGUGUAUUAGGAAAAGUGCCACCAAAUAUUGCAUUCAUUAUCUAACCAUCAAACUCUGCUACAUUCAUGCAUGAUAGAGUCGAGACAAACUCUCCAACGUUCAGACAAACUCUCCAACAUUCUGAACCUCUGAAAAUCAGAUUCAGCCUCAAAUUUUAGUAGGGAGAGCGAAAUUCGAGUGCUUGAAGAAUACAUAGAUGACACGAAAAUUUUAAAUUAUCUAAGAUACAGGUAGAAAAAAUAGAUAUAUUUCUAAGCUGAAAUCAAUAAGUGAAUAUUCCUGUUUCAAGAUAUGUAAAGAUUAACUAAAGAGAUAACUCAACAUUUAUCCCCUGUUUCUGUUUCAUUGUACAACAGGAGGUUCCGACCAAAAAUACAAGUUCUUUUUAUCACUAAUCACAGAAUUAUAGUGCAACUGAAUUAAAUAGCCAUUCUUCACACUGUUUCUGGAAGCUCCAUUUUACUUCAAUUGAACUAGGACACCAUUCUGAAAGCAUUAACUAAUGCAUCCAAGAUCAAAAUAAUAUUGAAUAACAUUUGAUAAUACACUAAUACUCUAAUAUUUCUUGCUUGUUCCAUCCCAACUUUUCCAAUGGAAUAAAUGUUGUCGCCAACAUAUAGUGCUUGAUCAAACUCCAUAGGGGAAUCCAAGCUUUGAUGUGCAAAUCAAACUUGUUUAUACAAGGUAUGUAUUAAUAGGUCUUAUGGUCCCUCUUACAUGGUCGUGCCAAAGCCAAUAUACAGGAUGAACUAUAGCAAGGACUCCGUUUAACUUGAAAACUAUGAUAUCCCGAAUCAGGCAGUUGAUCGAACCAGCUGUAUUCAGCUACAAAUAAACCAGGCACAAAAUUAAUAAUUUCUCUAAUCAUCCAUUCUGUAUAACCUUGGCGAAAAGUCUGAUCUGAGUGUCUGACAAAUUCGGGUUCAUCACAAGUGUUUGAAUUUACAUACUAAACUGACAAUCUACAUUAGGGAAGUAGGCAUGAUAUCUAGCACCAGCCCACUUCCUUUGGCUCACGGAGAUAAAUAAACCAAUUAAAAUCAUAACUAAUCUAUAUAUCCAUUUAUCUAUAUAUUAUACUAUUAUAACCAGAAUUACACAUCUGUGAAGAGGGAGGGCAGAUUUUGUAUUUUGCCUAAAGGAAGAAGGUAACACUAAUAUCUUUCUUUAUAUGUGAUGGAAACUUAAAGUUGGGUCCCUUCAACUUUCUCACUUUUUGAACAUGUUAAACCAGUCUCUUAUGUUUUCAAAAAUCAUAAAAAACCUCUGAAGUUUCCAGAAAUUACGAACUACUGUACUUGCAGAAAACUAGUCCCUCACAGUUUAGAAAAUUACUGGCCAAUCCUAUGCUUCCAGUUCCAGAAUCUGACAUUUUGAUCCUUUUAGUAAAAUAUAACUUAGAAGUUACUAUUUUUUUUGAAAAAUUAAAAUGUUUCUUUCAAGUUGAAUGAAAAGUUUUUUUGUAAAGACAUGAACUUUAAUUUAAGUUUAUAAACACAAAAUAAAAAUUAAAAAUUACUUAAAGCAGAUAUGAAAAGAAAAAAUAUAACAACUAAGUUGGAUCGUAAAUAUCAGUAGCAUCAAGCAGAGUAAUCCAACUUACAAAAGUUAACGAGAAAGAAACCCAAAAAACAUAAAAAUGCAAAAUAAUUGCCCCCCACCAGUACACAAGUUCUUGGUAACACCAUGUUUGCACAAACGAGUCUGGCAAACCAUCUAAAAGGGAAGGACAGGGCUUUCGCGGCCUAGCAAGAGCAUGCACUGUCCUGACAUAGUUUAAGGCUAUGUAUAACUUUGAGGUCUAGAAUUAAAGUUGCUAAUUGCCAAAAUUAAGGAAAAUAAGUUAUAAAACUAAGAUUCUGAGAUUGCAGCUUAUCAAGAUUCUGCAGACCUCUGCUUACCAAACAAUAGUGUUUAGUGAACAAGGUAAAGAGGUUCGAUGGUGGAAGAAUGUAGAUCUUAAAAGAACAGUCAUGGAAAGGCACGAGAAUGCCACAAUUAUACCCUACUGAUCCACCAAAAUAUAUGAAAAGACAACAACCUGGUGGCAUCUAACCAUAAUAUAAUGAUAAAUUAAAGAGUAGCAUAAACAGAUUUCCUUCACAAAUAGAUAUUGAUUACCUACUUUACAAAAAAAAAAAACAAGAUAUUUAUAACUAGGAAACCAAAUACCAAGACAAAUAAACACAAACCUAAGAGAGGAUGGACCAAAAUUAAUGAUAGAAUGAGUCUUUAAGGUCAGCAAGUAAGACGAGCAAUCCAGACACAACUUCAUCUACUUAUCACUCAUUUUCACCCGUAACCUAUAAAAGAUUGGAUCUUAAUCUGUGGCUCCACGAAGCACCUCUAUGGUGCUAGGACAAGGUGUGACAUUGCUGCGCAUCUUAGCUAUUUUCCACUUUCUAGAUAUUGGAAUCCAUGUAAAUUCACACUAUUUAAACUAAAAACAGGUUCCAUAUCUAACAAGAAAGCAAAAGAAUUACACAAUCAACAAAAUAUCAUUCUUAAACAAUGCAUCAAAUAUCAUUCUUAAACAAUGCAUCUUGUUAAUAUUUCAUGCCACAGUGAAAGGCUAAAAUAACAAUGCUGGGAGAAAAACAUUGUAGCAAAAACUAAUAAUAAUAUAAAAGAAAAACAGCGCUUAUUACAGAAAAUUUACCUCAUACACUUUGUGAUUAUAAGAAGCAUUUCCCAUUUUCAUCUAUAAGAUUAAGCUUGCAAGUUGUUGAUUCGGUCUGUAAGUUUAACAGUUCUUGCCAGGCCUCUGCAUCUUUUGACAAAUUUGAAAUUUCAAUUGAUACACUCCGCAAAGCACUCCCAUAAGCUAGCAGGUAUUUAACAAAUGCCAACUCCUCAUUUAUUCCAUGGAAUUUUCUAAUAUAUACUGUUUUAAGAUGUGCGCAUAAGCAUUUUGGAACCCGUGAUUGUGACCAGCCCCAUGAGCGGCGAAAAGAUUCAUGAAGGGAAGUACAAACAAGACCCUGCCAACAAGAAAGAGCAAAGUGUUAAAUUCUAAGUUCAGUGUCCUUCUUGACAAAUACGUCAGAUCUCAGUUUUUAAACUCACCUGCGGAAAUUCAAGACUUUCAAGCUUCGCUGAGUUUUGAAGGAAGUCAUCCAGUAAAGUUUCAUGACAAUAAUCUUUAACAUUAAUUAACAACUUAGUCAAGUUAUGAAACGGAGGAAACUCAUAGUGACCUGUUCUUAACUCAUUAUCAUAUGCAAGGCUGACGAUCUUCAAAAUAAGAAGGAAAAGCGUGAGAGUCACAUAAAUUCACAGCAAAGAUAAAAAUUAGUUCAAGUAAGUUAGGAUUUAGGCAUGACACUAACCUGCACAGUGUGAUCUGACAAAUUCAAAAUUUUGACGUGAUUAAUCUUUUUAAGCAGCCCAAACACGCAAUCAACUCCUCGUGGUAUCUCAUUAUUAUAGAUGUCGAUUACAGCUAUCUUGAGGAAUGGCAAGUUGCCCUUGAACAAAAUAUCAUUAUCACCGCAUGUGUAAGAACAAAUUUUAAGACUCUCUAAUCUCGGUGUAUCAAUCAAAGUCCGAAGCACAAAUUCUUCAUCAUCUGAACUAAGACAAUAUGACAACCGCUUCAAUGCAGAUCCACAAAUACUGAAAGAGUUGCCCGUAAGCCAUUUACAGUGGACAAUAUCCAAAUCUUCAAGCACAGGACAGUUUAACAAAAGCUUCCCAACUGACUCAUAGCUCGAAAUUCUAACGUUGUGGAAGCUAAGUACCCGAAGCCUCGAAAACUUAACAUUCUCCGGAAUCUCAAGUAAUAUUUUCCCACGGAGUAGAAGAACUUCAACACCAGUACACAUGUAAAAAAAGUCUUGAACCAAUUCACACAAGUCUGGAAAUGAAAUAACAAGGACUAUCGCUUUCAAAUCACGCCCAACAGCAUUCAUAAUCCACUCAUCAACGCGGUCCCUGUAGUAAUCUCCACCAGAACAAAUUAACCGGAAUUUUGUGAUUUUCAAAUCAUUCAGCCUACGCAUCAAAAACUUAUCAACAAAGUUGGUGAAAUUUAUGCCUGAAUUCCUAACAUCAACAAAAUCAAGAUUCGGGAGUGACUCGCAGAGAGGCCUCCAUCUUUUCGACAAGAUACAAGUGCGUACAGCAGGUUUAAUUGGAAGCAAUGCAAGUAUAGCGAUGAGUAGUGAGUCAGGUAAAUCACUGAUUCUAUCUACGUCACAGAUAUUCGUUAAUUUUCUUGAAGUUGAAUCCAUGGACCAUGAUAGG